UGAGUAGGCGGAUGUACAAGUUAGAUGUGAAAUACCUAGGCUUAACCUGGGAGGUGCAUUUAAGACUGUAUGUCUAGAGUCUGUUAGAGGGGGGUAGAAUUCCAAGUGUAGCAGUGAAAUGCGUAGAGAUUUGGAGGAAUACCGAAGGCGAAGGCAGCCCCCUGGGAUAAGACUGACGCUGAGUCACGAAAGCGUGGGUAGCAAACAGGAUUAGAUACCCUGGUAGUCCACGCCCUAAACGAUGUCUACUUGCUGUUGGGGGUGAAACCUUAGUAGCGAAGCUAACGCGAGAAGUAGACCGCCUGGGGAGUACGGUCGCAAGAUUAAA
Molecule: ribosomal RNA, 328 nt
Filed under: uncultured Neisseriaceae bacterium
Lineage: Bacteria; Pseudomonadati; Pseudomonadota; Betaproteobacteria; Neisseriales; Neisseriaceae
Description: bacterial SSU rRNA
Rfam family: Bacterial small subunit ribosomal RNA
Source: RNAcentral